CUCUGUGACUCCUACGGGAGGCAGCAGUGGGGAAUAUUGCACAAUGGGGGAAACCCUGAUGCAGCCAUGCCGCGUGUGUGAAGAAGGCCUUCGGGUUGUAAAGCACUUUCAGUAGGGAGGAAGGUAGUGUAGUUAACACCUGCAUUAUUUGACGUUACCUACAGAAGAAGCACCGGCUAACUCCGUGCCAGCAGCCGCGGUAAUACGGAGGGUGCGAGCGUUAAUCGGAAUUACUGGGCGUAAAGCGCAUGCAGGCGGCCUGUUAAGUCAGAUGUGAAAGCCCGGGGCUUAACCUCGGAAUUGCAUUUGAAACUGGCAGGCUAGAGUCUUGUAGAGGGGGUAGAAUUUCAGGUGUAGCGGUGAAAUGCGUAGAGAUCUGAAGGAAUACCAGUGGCGAAGGCGGCCCCCUGGACAAAGACUGACGCUCAGAUGCGAAAGCGUGGGGAGCAAACAGGAUUAGAUACCCUGGUAA
Molecule: ribosomal RNA, 472 nt
Filed under: uncultured bacterium
Lineage: Bacteria
Description: bacterial SSU rRNA
Rfam family: Bacterial small subunit ribosomal RNA
Source: RNAcentral